GGAGAGAUGGCUGAGUGGUCGAAAGCGGCACCCUGCUAAGGUGUUAUCUGGAGCAAUCCGGAUCGAGGGUUCGAAUCCCUCUCUCUCCGCCA
RNAcentral lists this transfer RNA (92 nucleotides) under Candidatus Peregrinibacteria bacterium. RNAcentral describes it as "tRNA-Ser". It matches the Rfam family "tRNA". Rfam says of the family: Transfer RNA (tRNA) molecules are approximately 80 nucleotides in length. Their secondary structure includes four short double-helical elements and three loops (D, anti-codon, and T loops). Further hydrogen bonds mediate the characteristic L-shaped molecular structure. tRNAs have two regions of fundamental functional importance: the anti-codon, which is responsible for specific mRNA codon recognition, and the 3' end, to which the tRNAs corresponding amino acid is attached (by aminoacyl-tRNA synthetases). tRNAs cope with the degeneracy of the genetic code in two manners: having more than one tRNA (with a specific anti-codon) for a particular amino acid; and 'wobble' base-pairing, i.e. permitting non-standard base-pairing at the 3rd anti-codon position. Lineage: Bacteria; Candidatus Peregrinibacteriota. The record is from RNAcentral.